This 253-nucleotide ribosomal RNA is filed under the name uncultured bacterium. RNAcentral describes it as "partial 16S ribosomal RNA". It matches the Rfam family "Bacterial small subunit ribosomal RNA", at positions 524 to 776 of the family's 1533-position model. The record is from RNAcentral.
UACGGAGGGUGCAAGCGUUAUCCGGAUUCACUGGGUUUAAAGGGUGCGUAGGUGGGUCUGUAAGUCAGUGGUGAAAUCUCCGGGCUUAACUCGGGAACUGCCGUUGAUACUAUAGAUCUUGAAUAUCGCGUAGGUAAGCGGAAUAUGUCAUGUAGCGGUGAAAUGCUUAGAUAUGACAUAGAACACCAAUUGCGAAGGCAGCUUACUUCACGAUCAUUGACACUGAGGCACGAAAGCGUGGGGAGCAGACAGG